AAAUAUUUUAAAACCGGAAUCGUCCUUGCAAUUUGCAUGCAAGAACGAUAUCAGGUUAGUUUCCAUAGAGUUUAUAAAACAAUUUUGUUCAUGAAAAUUAAUAAUGGAAACCUGUGUAUUAUAUUUUAACCAUGUCACUAACCCACUAAACUUACAAUGGCAAGGGAAAAUUGUAUUCGUAAAAUACAUAUAUUUAAGAUUAGGCAUAGAUGUGAAUGCAUGUUCAUUCAAUUCUUGAAUGUUCUGGUUUUCAAUUAGUAGAAAUUCCAAGGACUUCAAAUCACAAAAGAUUGCAGGUGAAUCAAACUUAUUUAAUCCAGAGUUUUUCAAGUGCAAGACUUUUACAUUUGACAGUCCAUUAAAUACCUCAUACAUGUUUAUUGACGAUCUUCCUAUUAAUUUAUCAGUAUUUUCUAUACGAAGAAAUUUUAGUUUCUUUAAAUAUUGCAAUGAUGAAUUAAGUGUAACUAUUUCUGUGGAAUACUGAGAAUUGGCAUCAUAGG
Pelobates cultripes (western spadefoot toad) is the source of this 503-nucleotide non-coding RNA. The record is from the annotation of a GenBank genome assembly. Lineage: Eukaryota; Metazoa; Chordata; Amphibia; Anura; Pelobatidae.